RNAcentral lists this ribosomal RNA (888 nucleotides) under uncultured bacterium. RNAcentral describes it as "bacterial SSU rRNA". It matches the Rfam family "Bacterial small subunit ribosomal RNA", at positions 69 to 999 of the family's 1533-position model. The record is from RNAcentral.
GGAAUCUUAGGAUUCUAGUGGCGGACGGGUGAGUGACGCGUAAGAAUCUAACUUCAGGACGGGGACAACAGUUGGAAACGACUGCUAAUACCCGAUGUGCCGAAAGGUGAAACCUAAUUGGCCUGAAGAAGAGCUUGCGUCUGAUUAGCUAGUUGGUGGGGUAAAGGCCUACCAAGGCGACGAUCAGUAGCUGGUCUGAGAGGAUGAGCAGCCACACUGGGACUGAGACACGGCCCAGACUCCUACGGGAGGCAGCAGUGGGGAAUUUUCCGCAAUGGGCGAAAGCCUGACGGAGCAACGCCGCGUGAGGGAGGAAGGUCUUUGGAUUGUAAACCUCUUUUCUCAAGGAAGAAGUUCUGACGGUACUUGAGGAAUCAGCCUCGGCUAACUCCGUGCCAGCAGCCGCGGUAAUACGGGGGAGGCAAGCGUUAUCCGGAAUUAUUGGGCGUAAAGCGUCCGCAGGUGGUCAGCCAAGUCUGCCGUCAAAUCAGGUUGCUUAACGACCUAAGGGCGGUGGAAACUGGCAGACUAGAGAGCAGUAGGGGUAGCAGGAAUUCCCAGUGUAGCGGUGAAAUGCGUAGAGAUUGGGAAGAACAUCGGUGGCGAAAGCGUGCUACUGGGCUGUAUCUGACACUCAGGGACGAAAGCUAGGGGAGCGAAAGGGAUUAGAUACCCCUGUAGUCCUAGCCGUAAACGAUGGAUACUAGGCGUGGCUUGUAUCGACCCGAGCCGUGCCGAAGCUAACGCGUUAAGUAUCCCGCCUGGGGAGUACGCACGCAAGUGUGAAACUCAAAGGAAUUGACGGGGGCCCGCACAAGCGGUGGANUAUGUGGUUUAAUUCGAUGCNACGCGAAGAACCUUACCAAGACUUGACAUGUCGCGAACCCU